GGAAGAAGGCGCGGCCGCGGAGGCAGAGCGCCGGGCGCCUAUGGAGGGCAGGGCGGCCGCGCUGGCAGGCCCGGGCCGCCCGUGUGAGGGCAGCGCCCUCCUGCAGCUUCCCAGUGGCCGCAUAUUGCUUUCUGUCCUUCAGCGAAGAGCCACGGACCUGCUCCAAGCCACUGCUGCAUCGGGAACAGGGCCUUGUGAGGGAGGCCACCCCCUCCCCAUGGGGUGCUCGCCGUGGGGACUGUGGGGCAUAGUCGCCCCUCCACCGCGGCCCAGGGCGGGGAGGCCAGCAGGGCCCGCUGGGAGGGCAGGAGUUGCUGCGGGGCUUUAGAAGUCGCCGCGGGGCAGUGAUGGCUGCAGCGAGGAGGGAGGUCAGCAGAGCUGACCUGGCUGCUUAGCUGCUCGCGGGCGAGCACAAAAUGUCCAUCUGCAUCCUCGCGUUCGGCUUGCUGCAGACCGAAAAUCUGAUCUCGUCAUCUGAUCGCUCUUUUGGGCCAAUUUUCUGAGCAAUCCUGCCGUGAGGCACAUGACUGACACUCCUGUAGGUCUGCAGGCUAAGUCAAAUGCUUACCCAGGCGCCCAGUCUUGAGACCUGACAUACAACUUUAUUUCUCCAAUGUCAGAGAGGAAAUGUGUGGGCUACCUCUCUCUAAGAAACUUAAUUGCUAGACUAACUUUAGGAGUCCUAUAGCAGCAGAUAAAGACACUGCUGUUGGUAUUGUGGUUUCAAGCAGCAGCCUAAGGACCCGCCAUUCUCCAGGCUUUGUUUCCGAGGGCCUAUGAGAGUAAAAUGGGGCAAGAAGCCACUGCAGUGCGGUUGGUUGCCCACCCUGGCUGGAGCCUGGUGUGCAGGCUCAGCGGGACCAGCACGGUGCCUUGGGGUGAGCCUGGGGCUGCCCCGCUCCGGCAGUGCCAGCCUGCCACCUGCAGUGACCAGCAAUGCCCAUUCAUGGAAUCUUCCAUUGGUUUGUUUCACUGCUGACAAUUUACUUAAUUCUCUUAUAUGUAAGAACAGAGCUCAGAAAUAAUCUGUAAAGGACCUAUGCAUAACUGCUGAGUUUUACAGGUCUCAUCCUCUCAGGAAGUAGAGCAUCUCUAUUGCACUUAAGAAGCCGAGGCAAUAGAGCCCAAAAAUACUAAGACGGCACCAGUGAUCUGAAUCUUGAAAUUUUAUUCUCUGAUUCAACGUGUUACAAACAAACAUAUUCCACCUGUUACAACAAUCUGGCAUAUUACUUCCUUGAUACGUGAUGAUACAAUACCUCUCAGGUUUGCUGAGUAGCAAAGAGAAAUCACAGUUAUCCAUGAGAACACUUGCAGCCUGAAUUAAAGUGGAAUCCACUUGUCGAAAGGCUUCUUAUGCUCCCUGCAUUAUAGUGUGCAAUUUAUUAGAAUUAAUUGCCAUCGGUGGAGGAUGUGUGUGUUUGACACAGAGCAGCCCCACUUCUGCAAACUGAAGUCUACUGUGCUUGAAUAGGUACAGCCUUGAAUCUCUAGUUACUAUCACAGAGUGAAUUUUGAAAUUUGUAAUUUAUUCUGGUUUAGCUUAUAGUUUUCGUAAGUAUGACAAAAGAAAUUAAAUCAUAUGAUUUACAAUGCAAAGCUAACACAGCAGAAAUUAUAUCUGCUUACAUAAUUAAUAACCAAUGCACACUGUCUUCAUAUAGCACAGAGUACAAUACUUAAUAUAAAUAUCAUGUUGGAUUUUGGAGAAUAUUUAAACACUUUGACCUACAGAUCUAUUUGUUGUGGUGGGUGGUCAUGCUUAUAAACUCACAGAUUCAGUCAUUUACAAGAAUGGAAGGUUCACACACACACACAUACCCACACACCCCAAAAAGUUAAACUGAUUUUUGCUUUCAAAGUGAAUGAAAGAGAAUGUUUCCUUUACUUACUUAGAUCUACCCACUUGUAUCUUUCUCUCUUAAUUUUUUUUUGUCCACACUUGUGCCAUCCAUUAUAUAUUUGGUCACCCUGAUAGUGCUUUUGAAUUAUAAAGCCACACUAGAAACUACAUGUGAAAUGUGAUUACUGACUUGCUAAUUUGAGAUCACUGUCUAUUUGUACUUAACUGAGUCAUUGGAGAGUUGCAACUUAGGAGGAUGAAAUUUCUGAAUUUUUUGCCCAAAAAGAAACAUAUUUUCUGGUGAAAUCUAAACAGAAACAUUAGUAUCAGAAUUUAAUAUCAAUAUUGUGAUAUCUAGAUUGAGAUCAUAGCUAGAAGGCAGAAAGAGAGAGACUGCUUUCCACACAUAUCCUUUCCUGUACAAGUCUAUACUAUCUCACAUUUUUUUGAAGGCUUAUUUAAUUCAUGUUGGCAUUCACCAACAUUUGAUAAACAUGUCACUCCUCACCAGGUGUUCUAACUGAAAACAGAGAUGGACGAAAUAUAUUCCACAGUCUGCUUGUAACAGGGGUCCACUACUUUAAUGAAAACGUAAAAUAUCAUGUUUGUAAAAAUAUUUGCAAAGUAAUCAAUGAAAAUAAAUAUGAUGAAAGGGUGCCUAAAUUAAUUUACAUGUUUUUGCGCAAAGUUCUUUUUCCUAAAGAGAUUAAUUUUUGUGUACUGGAAGCUGCUUUUGCAUGUUAGGUAAUUUUUUCUCUUCUGUGUUUUUUUCUUGAGGGCAGUUUGAUGAUCAGUAAACAUCAUAGGAUAAAUAUUGUGGCUGUGUCUGUCUAGGAGAAAUCAACCAAGAAUUCUAACAAUUCUGUUCUAAAUACUGUUCUCAAAGAUAUAAUCCAUAGAGAGAAUCUACUUAAUCUGACAAACAUGAUUUCAAUUCAGGAAAUAGCUCACAAUCAUUCUACUGCAUCUGACAUCAGUGGUAUCCACACAGCCAUUCUGUGCAAACUCCCUGCUUUAAAGGUCUUCCCAUCACUGUUAUUGGUCUCACAGAUGAUGAAGUAUGACACUCCAUAAACAAUGAGCUGGGCCUUUUGUAGGCUGCUUUGCUUUUUUUGGCUUCAAACUGCCACUGAAUGUCAAAUCAAUUUGGCUUUCAUUAGAACAGCUUUAUAUGUGCAAAUGUAUUUGUGUCUGGUUGCUACUUUUUUCUAUUUUUGCUUUCCUUUCCCUUUGCUUUUUUUUUAUCCUUUCCCUUGAAUGAUGUAAUUUUUCUCUAAUCAAAGCCAACACCUGUUUCUCUAAAAUAGGACCCUCUGUGUAAAGCUCUUUAUCACAAUCUGAGUACACUCUAGAUGGGCUCAUUAUGAAUCAAGUUCUCUCGGAACAAAGAGGAAGUGCUCUGCUACAGUGACAUUGUACAUCAUAGAGCCUGGAUAAAGUCAAGAGCUGAUGUAACCUUGACUUUUGACAUGCCAAGAGACUAUUGUCUAGAUAAUGCAAGGUGUGUAAGCCUCUGUCUUUGAUAAGUAAUAAAACAAAUAAUAAA
This is a long non-coding RNA of Poecile atricapillus (Black-capped chickadee), 3389 nucleotides long. RefSeq lists it as uncharacterized. NCBI's taxonomy places the organism in Eukaryota, Metazoa, Chordata, Aves, Passeriformes, Paridae. The transcript has 5 exons. The record is from RefSeq and is a predicted model, not a curated record.